UGUUAUUUGCACAACUACAUUCUGUGAAACAAGGUAAAAAAGAACAAGGAAAUUAGACAACCAGUAUUUUAGUCAACUUAUUCUACAGGCAUAAUUCUAUACCCUUUAUCAGCUAGCACUCAUGCAGUUUACUUAAAAGUUGAUUAUCAGGGUUAGUGACAAAAUACUAUUCCACACAAAACUGAGGAUAUAAUUUAAAUCCGUAAUUCAGUAUCAGUUUACAUUUGCUUCCUAGUAUUUUCACAUCUGCUAGGGCCACCCAACAUUGACUAAAUAGUUUAUAAUAAUUCACAAUUUCAUGAAAUGUCUAAAAUUCUGGUAUUUUCCAUUUACUCAAUCAAGAGAUUAAGGUUUCAUUAGUGAUAAAUUAUUCUUGAACAGGAAUUGAUAUUUGGUAAGGUAAUGUCAAAUUGUUAAAACACUAAGAGAAUGAAACCUAAAGUCAUAACAUGGUUUCAAUUUUCAAAUGAAAACAGA
Molecule: unclassified non-coding RNA, 477 nt
Filed under: Hevea brasiliensis (rubber tree)
Lineage: Eukaryota; Viridiplantae; Streptophyta; Magnoliopsida; Malpighiales; Euphorbiaceae
Source: RNAcentral